GCUAGCAUGGCACAGUGGUUAGUGUGUUGGGCUAGGACCCAUGAGUUCAGGGUUCAAAUCCCCACUAAGCCAUGAAGCU
This is a non-coding RNA of Podarcis lilfordi (Lilford's wall lizard), 79 nucleotides long. Lineage: Eukaryota; Metazoa; Chordata; Lepidosauria; Squamata; Lacertidae. The record is from the annotation of a GenBank genome assembly.